GCAGAUGGAGCCAAGGGCCUUGUCAAAGGCGCAAUUGGGCAGCCAAGGCUGCUGGUUCCUGUUAUCUUAGUCAUGAUUUAUAACCGGUGGAAUGAGAUCCUUGUUCCAGAUUAUGGAUUUAUGGACUUAGAAUUGAUACCAAUGCUAGUGGGAUUUUUCACGUACAAGAUUGCAACUUUCGCUCAAGCUUUAGAGGAUGCACUUACUGCAACCGUUGAAAAGGAAAGUUUAAGAUGAACUUUCAUAUGCAGGGGUUAGCCCUUCUGACAUGGCUGCA
Molecule: unclassified non-coding RNA, 277 nt
Filed under: Hevea brasiliensis (rubber tree)
Lineage: Eukaryota; Viridiplantae; Streptophyta; Magnoliopsida; Malpighiales; Euphorbiaceae
Source: RNAcentral